RNAcentral lists this long non-coding RNA (830 nucleotides) under Oryza sativa Indica Group (long-grained rice). RNAcentral's name for it is "lncRNA OsMH63_01G001250". The record is from RNAcentral. Lineage: Eukaryota; Viridiplantae; Streptophyta; Magnoliopsida; Poales; Poaceae.
CUUAUUUCCAGGAGGAACCCAACAUCCCACGACUCAUCACCCGAGCAACCGAGGUCUGUGCUUCCCAUCUGCUGGCUGCUGCAAUCUCGUGUUAUCAACUACUCAGAUCCCGGCGACAAGAAAGGGGAGUCGGCUCGUCGCAGCCCCUACGGUGGCAGGUGGGCAGGGGAGAAAGGGGAGUUUCCGUCCGUGGAGCGGCAUCGAUCUCGUCAGAAUAUUUUGGAUCAGCAUGUUGUGGUUUGUGCAUGGAAGUUCAAAAUAAGAUGUGCUAUGUCUAAACUUUGGGAACGAAAUCUUAAGGUACUAUUCUGCAUGUCAUCUAUUUUCUUCCAUGCCUUGUUAAGUAAAUCAAACAUAUUAUUGUCUAAUGAAGUUCUGAUACAAGAAACUAACACUGCAGCUUUAAGUGUAGAAAAUGAGGCAAAGCAACUCUAUAUCACUAUGUGUGCCUGCUUACGAGAUUGUAAAGAUGGAACCACAGGAGAAGAACUCACAGAGCACAUCACUUGGUGCAAGGUUUGCAAGAAUAUAUUUAAGAUGAAUGGGACACUACCACACUGGGGUUGCAAUGGUAUCAAAGAUUCAGAUGAUCAGUGGCUGAAUUCUGACAGUUGAAUGCCCACUUCAAGAUCUAAGAAAGAAGCGAAGGAAUUUGCGAAGAUGAUAUAUGAAUAGAUGUAUUGCACAAUUAUCUAGCAGCUUGCUGCUAAAAUGUGUAUUUUUUUCUUUUUAAAAGAUAUGCCUAUAAAUUUCUUUGUUACAAGAUGUAAACAAUAAUUCUGUAAAUUUCCUUAUUGCAAUGCAAUAUAUUAUGAUCAUUUCACUUCUUC